AGGAGGGGAAAUGAUUUUGAGACAUAUGAAAAUAUCACUAAGAGUGGAAAGGAAAUAUGUGAACAUCCAGAAGACAUACAGUGUAGAUGUUUACAAAGGCCUGAUAUGUCUCUGGAAGAAUUUGUACAAGAAACAGGUCAGGUUGUUCAGUGUGAUGUUUCAUUUGGUUUAAAAUGUGAAAAAGGGAAACAGACAGCAAACCAUACAAAUGUUUUGAUUAUGAAAUUAGAGUACUCUGUUGUGAAUGUAUUUCUACACCAACAACAAUACCAACAACAACAACUACAACUCCUGUAUCAAGUACAACAACUGAAAGAGCACAACAACUAAAACUGGGCCAACAUCUACCACUGGAACAACUACCCAACCAACAACUACUUACAUGGUGCCAACAACUACAACUCCUGUAUCAAGUACAACAACUGAUAAUAGCACAACAACUAAAUUUUCGUCAACAUCUACCACUGGAACAACUACCCAACCAACAACUAUUACAGUGGGGCCAACAACUACAACUCCUGUAUCAAGUACAACAACUGAAAGUAGCACAACAACUAAAAUUGAGCCAACAUCUACCACUGGAACAACUACCCAACCAAACAACUACUACAGUGGGGCCAACAACUACAACUCCCGUGUCAAGUA
Long non-coding RNA from Ictalurus punctatus (channel catfish), 645 nucleotides. The record is from Ensembl. NCBI's taxonomy places the organism in Eukaryota, Metazoa, Chordata, Actinopteri, Siluriformes, Ictaluridae.